AUGGCGAUAUCACGUUGAAACACUGGUUUUCGUACGAUCACCGAAGUUAAGCAACGUCAAGCCUGGUCAGUACCUAAAUGGGUGACCGCUUCGGAAUACAAGAUGCUGUAA
Acanthosepion pharaonis is the source of this 111-nucleotide non-coding RNA. The record is from the annotation of a GenBank genome assembly. NCBI's taxonomy places the organism in Eukaryota, Metazoa, Mollusca, Cephalopoda, Sepiida, Sepiidae.